Molecule: ribosomal RNA, 859 nt
Filed under: uncultured Terriglobales bacterium
Lineage: Bacteria; Pseudomonadati; Acidobacteriota; Terriglobia; Terriglobales
Description: SSU rRNA
Rfam family: Bacterial small subunit ribosomal RNA
Source: RNAcentral
CCUAACACAUGCAAGUCGAACGCGAAAGUAGCCUUCGGGCUGCGAGUAGAGUGGCAAACGGGUGAGUAACGCGUGGGUGACCUACCUUCGAGUGGGGGAUAACGUUUCGAAAGGAACGCUAAUACCGCAUAACAUCCUGCCUUUGGAAAGGUGGUGAUCAAAGCCGGGGAUCGCAAGACCUGGCGCUUGAUGAGGGGCCCGCGUCCGAUUAGCUUGUUGGCGGGGUAACGGCCCACCAAGGCGACAAUCGGUAGCCGGCCUGAGAGGGCGGACGGCCACACUGGGACUGAGACACGGCCCAGACUCCUACGGGAGGCAGCAGUGGGGAAUUGUUCGCAAUGGGCGAAAGCCUGACGACGCAACGCCGCGUGGAGGACGAAAACCUUCGGGUCGUAAACUCCUGUCGAGCGGGACGAAUACUGCCUGGGUUAAUAACCCAGGCGGCUGACGGUACCGUUAAAGGAAGCCCCGGCUAACUCCGUGCCAGCAGCCGCGGUAAUACGGGGGGGGCAAGCGUUGUUCGGAUUUACUGGGCGUAAAGAGCUCGUAGGCGGCUUGCUUAGUCGAACGUGAAAUCCCUUGGCUCAACUGAGGAACUGCGUCCGAUACUGGCAGGCUUGAAUCCGGGAGAGGGAUGCGGAAUUCCAGGUGUAGCGGUGAAAUGCGUAGAUAUCUGGAGGAACACCGGUGGCGAAGGCGGCAUCCUGGACCGGCAUUGACGCUGAGGAGCGAAAGCCAGGGUAGCAAACGGGAUUAGAUACCCCGGUAGUCCUGGCCCUAAACGAUGAAUGCUUGGUGUGGCGGGUAUCGAUCCCUGCUGUGCCGAAGCUAACGCAUUAAGCAUUCCGNCUGGGGAGUA